UGCUUCGUUAAAAAGAAAUCCUUUCUGAUUACUCCCAGUUUUCAUCUUCAUCCUCUCAAACGACCGCUGGUUACAACGCCCACCAUCACACCCUCACUUGGAUCUUGCAAGUUGCACCUCAGCCGCUACUCCCAAAUCCCAAUGAUCAAUAACCCCGUGGAUCGUAAACAAAAGGGCUCAAGUUCUUCCUUCGUAUAGGAAUUAGAAAAAUCUUAUCGUCAUUUCUCCUUGUUAGCUUUAUAAAGAAAAGGGGAAAUUUUUUUUCCCCCAACCGCCUGGAGCAAACAUUCGGUUUUCGUUUUCUUUUAAUCCAUUUCUCCAUUACUAAUUCCGUUUCUCAGAAUUGAACGUCGCUGAUUUUAGUGAGGAAAUUUCGACAAUAGUUUGGGCUGAGUAAUUUUCUUGUUUGUUUGCCGGGAAAACUCAAGAAAAUGCUCUUCUGACUGAUCGUUGUUUCAGCGAAAGGUAUGUAAUUUAUUGCCUCUUUUAUAGGUAGCUUAGUUCAGUAUUCAAUCUCCAAUGCUUAUCCUAUUAUUGGAACUUUGCAUUGCAUUUAUGUGAUGCUUCUUUUCAAACUGAAUGCCAUUUUCUCUUCUUCAUUUUUUGGUAGUUAUUAGCCAUGCAGCGUUGGUUCUUCUGCUAUUUCUUGUUGAUUUUACAGUAUCUAUAU
Long non-coding RNA from Hibiscus syriacus, 670 nucleotides. RefSeq lists it as uncharacterized. The transcript has 3 exons. NCBI's taxonomy places the organism in Eukaryota, Viridiplantae, Streptophyta, Magnoliopsida, Malvales, Malvaceae. The record is from RefSeq and is a predicted model, not a curated record.